This is a long non-coding RNA of Asparagus officinalis (garden asparagus), 202 nucleotides long. RefSeq lists it as uncharacterized. Lineage: Eukaryota; Viridiplantae; Streptophyta; Magnoliopsida; Asparagales; Asparagaceae. The record is from RefSeq and is a predicted model, not a curated record. The transcript has 3 exons.
GGAAAUGCAAAUUGUGUGGAAAGCGAGGACAAAAAUCAUGAUAGCAGAAAUUGCCCUCUAAAGUUGUCAAGUGAUUCAAUGGAACAAGAUAAUAUUGAUGAAGCCACUGAUGAUUUAGAAGAUUCCUUUGAGGAAGAUGAAGUUCUCACUAUUGCGUGAAGUUUGAUCAAGGUUGGCGGAAAGAAGGUUGGCGGAAAGAAGU